CCACUUUGUCUUCAGAACAUUGAGCACCAAAGCUUCACUCAGCCUAUUGAAGGUGUUCAAGCAGCAACAAGAUUCUAUCCACUGGCUGGUAACACUCGUCUGCCACACAGAGCGCCCACUGAAGCCACUGAAAGCACCAUUGCGCAAAGGCCUCGGAAGCGUUCUCGUGUUCUCAAUGACCGAGAGCUUCUUGUGGCUCUUCAUCAGAAGCAGGAUAAGCAUCAUUUCUGGCUCAAGCGCCAAAUGCAAAGCCUCUUGGUGGUUGUCAAUCGCAUUCGCAACCUUGCCACCAAGAAUGCCUUUGUUGCUCAUGAAACUUGCCGAAGAUCAUGGAAGAGUUUGACCCUGCUCAGUGCUGAAGCUGAUCUUCAAGAUGAUGGCUUCAAUGAAAGAUUCCAG
This 399-nucleotide ribosomal RNA is filed under the name Triticum aestivum (bread wheat). RNAcentral's name for it is "partial small subunit ribosomal RNA". The record is from RNAcentral. Lineage: Eukaryota; Viridiplantae; Streptophyta; Magnoliopsida; Poales; Poaceae.